This 475-nucleotide ribosomal RNA is filed under the name uncultured bacterium. Its description in RNAcentral is "partial 16S ribosomal RNA". It matches the Rfam family "Bacterial small subunit ribosomal RNA", at positions 28 to 523 of the family's 1533-position model. The record is from RNAcentral.
GGUGAACGCUGGCGGCGUGCUUAAGACAUGCAAGUCGAACGCAGUCUUCGGACUGAGUGGCGCACGGGUGAGUAACACGUAACUGACCUACCCCCAAGUCGCGGAUAACUGGCCGAAAGGUCAGCUAAUACGUGAUGUGAUGUCCCCUUUCUGGGGGGCCAUUAAAGGUUUACUGCUUGGGGAUGGGGUUGCGUUCCAUCAGCUAGUUGGCGGGGUAAAGGCCCACCAAGGCAACGACGGAUAGCCGGCCUGAGAGGGUGGCCGGCCACAGGGGCGCUGAGACACGGGUCCCACUCCUACGGGAGGCAGCAGUUAGGAAUCUUCCACAAUGGGCGAAAGCCUGAUGGAGCGACGCCGCGUGAGGGAUGAAGGUUCUCGGAUCGUAAACCUCUGAAUCAGGGACGAAAGACGCGUAAGCGGGAUGACGGUACCUGAGUAAUAGCACCGGCCAACUCCGUGCCAGCAGCCGCAGUAA